Molecule: ribosomal RNA, 481 nt
Filed under: uncultured bacterium
Lineage: Bacteria
Description: partial 16S ribosomal RNA
Rfam family: Bacterial small subunit ribosomal RNA
Source: RNAcentral
AUUGAACGCUGGCGGCAUGCUUUACACAUGCAAGUCGAACGGCAGCGCGGGGCAACCUGGCGGCGAGUGGCGAACGGGUGAGUAAUACAUCGGAACGUACCCAGAAGUGGGGAUAACGUUGCGAAAGUUACGCUAAUACCGCAAACGUUCUUCGGAAGAAAGUGGGGGACCUUCGGGGCUCAUUCUUUUUGGGCGGCCGAGGUCUGAUUAGCUAGUUGGUGAGGUAAAGGCUCACCAAGGCGACGAACAGUAGCUGGUCUGAGAGGACGACCAGCCACACUGGGACUGAGACACGGCCCAGACUCCUACGGGAGGCAGCAGUGGGGAAUUUUGGACAAUGGGCGCAAGCCUGAUCCAGCAAUGCCGCGUGAGUGAAGAAGGCCUUCGGGUUGUAAAGCUCUUUUGUCAGGGAAGAAACGGCUGAGGAUAAUACCUUCGGCUAAUGACGGUACCUGAAGAAUAAGCACCGGCUAACUACGUG